CAGUAGCCGCGGGAACACGUAGGUGGCAAGCGUUGUCCGGAAUUAUUGGGCGUAAAGCGCGCGCAGGCGGAUAGGUCAGUCUGUCUUAAAAGUUCGGGGCUUAACCCCGUGAUGGGAUGGAAACUGCCAAUCUAGAGUAUCGGAGAGGAAAGUGGAAUUCCUAGUGUAGCGGUGAAAUGCGUAGAUAUUAGGAAGAACACCAGUGACGAAGGCGACUUUCUGGACGAAAACUGACGCUGAGGCGCGAAAGCCAGGGGAGCGAACGGGAUUAGAUACCCCCGUAGUCCCUGUCUCUUAUACA
Molecule: ribosomal RNA, 301 nt
Filed under: uncultured bacterium
Lineage: Bacteria
Description: partial 16S ribosomal RNA
Rfam family: Bacterial small subunit ribosomal RNA
Source: RNAcentral